AUGACAAAGCCAGCUUCUGACACAUGUUUGAUGGAUCUGGACCCCAAGGAAGAAUUUGAAGGUCAGCCACCUGUCCCGCCUAAAGUGCAUCUCUUCCCUCCGUCUCAGGAAGAGAUCAAGAUCAAGGGCAAAGGCACCCUGGUCUGUCUCGUAGACGGCUUUCACCCAAAGACCGUCCAAGUCAACUGGCAGGCUGAUGGGAAAGCCAUCUCCUCAGGAGUGCAAACCAGCGAGCCCGCCAAACAGGGUGACAAGUAUAUGGCCACCAGUUACCUGACCGUCACUCCCUCAGACUGGGAAAACCAUCAGAGAUACAGCUGCAUAGUGACGCACGACGGGAAGACCUUCGAGGAGGUGGUGAAGCCAUCCGCGUGUCCAUAA
Pogona vitticeps (central bearded dragon) is the source of this 381-nucleotide non-coding RNA. The record is from the annotation of a RefSeq genome assembly. NCBI's taxonomy places the organism in Eukaryota, Metazoa, Chordata, Lepidosauria, Squamata, Agamidae.